This 254-nucleotide ribosomal RNA is filed under the name uncultured bacterium. RNAcentral's name for it is "partial 16S ribosomal RNA". It matches the Rfam family "Bacterial small subunit ribosomal RNA", at positions 524 to 776 of the family's 1533-position model. The record is from RNAcentral.
UACGGGGGGGGGCAAGCGUUGUUCGGAAUUACUGGGCGUAAAGGGUCCGUAGGUGGCCAACUAAGUCAGACGUGAAAUCCCUCAGCUUAACUGGGGAACUGCGUCUGAGACUGGAUGGCUCGAGUGCAGGAGAGGAAUGCGGAAUUCCAGGUGUAGCGGUGAAAUGCGUAGAUAUCUGGAGGAACACCGGUGGCGAAGGCGGCAUUCUGGACUGCAACUGACACUGAACGACGAAAGCCAGGGGAGCAAACGGG